AAAAAAUUUGAUUCUGGUUUUUAAGUUUAGUUUAUAUUUUUAUUAUAUGUAAAUUUUUGUGUUUAAAAUUAUUUAAAUAGUAAUUUAAGAAAAUAAUUAAGUUUAUUUAAAGCAAUAAUUAAAUUUGUACAAUAAAAGAAAUUUUGAUACAGAAAUAUAUAAUAGCAUUGGUAAAAUUUGUGCCAGCAAUCGCGGUUAAACAGAUGAUGCAAUUAAAUUUUUUCUAGUAAUAAUAAAUAAGAUUAAAAAAUAAUUUAGAAUUAAAUUUAUUAGGUGAAAUUAGAAAUUUGAAUAAAAUUAUAUUUAAUGAUUAUGAGGUUAUGAAAUUCUUGCAUUAAACUAGGAUUAGAUACCCUAUUAUAAGGAAUAUAAAUUAAUAAUACUAGGGGAGUAGUAGUUAUGUUCUUGAAAUUUAAAGAAUUUGGCGGUACUUUAGUCUAUUCAGAGGAACCUGUCCUAUAAUUGAUGAUCCACGAUUAAUUGUACUUAAUUUAAUAGUUUAUAUAUCGUCGUAGGUUGAAUAUCUUAGAAGAGAUGAAAAUAUUCAUGAUUUAAAAUAAAAUAAUAAAGGAAAUCAGAUCAAGGUGUAGCAUAUAAUUGAGAAGAGAUGGGUUACAAUAAAAUUAUUUAUAAUGAAUAUAAUAUUUAAAAUUAUUAUUGAAGGUGGAUUUGAAAGUAAUAUAUUUUAUUUAAAAUGUAUGAUUUUAGCUCUAGAGUAUGUACAUAUCGCCCGUCGCUUUCAUUGAACAUUAAAAUGAAAUAAGUCGUAACAUAGUGGGUGUACCGGAAGGUGUACCUAGAUUGCA
RNAcentral lists this non-coding RNA (806 nucleotides) under Onthophagus cf. tragus. RNAcentral describes it as "12S ribosomal RNA". The stretch from base 386 to 799 matches the Rfam family "Microsporidia small subunit ribosomal RNA", at positions 752 to 1303 of the family's 1311-position model. The record is from RNAcentral. Lineage: Eukaryota; Metazoa; Arthropoda; Insecta; Coleoptera; Scarabaeidae.